GCCCAGAUAGCUCAGUCGGUAGAGCAGUGGAUUGAAAAUCCUCGUGUCGGUGGUUCGAUUCCGCCUCUGGGCACCA
This 76-nucleotide transfer RNA is filed under the name Cellvibrio japonicus. RNAcentral describes it as "tRNA-Phe". It matches the Rfam family "tRNA". Rfam says of the family: Transfer RNA (tRNA) molecules are approximately 80 nucleotides in length. Their secondary structure includes four short double-helical elements and three loops (D, anti-codon, and T loops). Lineage: Bacteria; Pseudomonadati; Pseudomonadota; Gammaproteobacteria; Cellvibrionales; Cellvibrionaceae. The record is from RNAcentral. RNAcentral also lists the same sequence under 29 other names.